AAUCAACGCUGGCGGCGUGCCUCAGACAUGCAAGUCGAACGCGAAAGUCCCCUUCGGGGGACAAGUAGAGUGGCGCACGGGUGAGUAACACGUAGGUAAUCCACCUUCGGAUGGGGAAUAACAACCGGAAACGGUUGCUAAUACCGCAUAAUGCAGCGGCACCUAAUGGUGACAGUUGUUAAAGCGGGGGAUCGAAAGACCUCGCGUCUGAAGAGGAGCCUGCGGCGGAUUAGCAGUUGGUAAGGUAACGGCUUACCAAGGCGACGAUCCGUAGCCGGCCUGAGAGGGCGGUCGGCCACACUGACACUGACAUACGGGUCAGACUCCUACGGGAGGCAGCAGUCGGGAAUUUUGGGCAAUGGGCGAAAGCCUGACCCAGCAACGCCGCGUGAAGGAUGAAAUCCC
Molecule: ribosomal RNA, 405 nt
Filed under: uncultured bacterium
Lineage: Bacteria
Description: bacterial SSU rRNA
Rfam family: Bacterial small subunit ribosomal RNA
Source: RNAcentral